UGAUAUUGGAUCGCUAAUGAUAACAUUAUGAUAUGGCUGCCAAUAUAUUGUGCAUCACAAUUAUUAUUUUUUUUAACUCUAUAAGUCAAUUAAUUUUGUUUUAUUAAAACUUAUUUAGUGUUUAACCAAAUAAAGAAACCACUUGAGGGCAGACAAAAUAUGGACUGAAGAAGAGACUAGUAAAAUGGAUGAAUUUGCUCUGAUGGCAGAGAUGAAUGUGAACAACGAGCAGGAGCUUUAUCGGCAAUUGAUAAAGGCUUACAAUGAAAGAAACUGAACAAGAAUUUAGAGAGACUAGGGUGGCUUAAGAUUAAACCUGCAUGCUCAAGUUUUACAUAGAGACAGCCAAAAUCCUUUUAAACAGCUUAAAAACUGUGUUGUCUAUUUUGUUUUUUAAGAACUUGUUAAAUGCAUGCCAAUUUGUUGUUUAUUGAUUGAAUAACAAAUGUCAAUAUUAGUAGAUGUGAUUUGGCUCAGAUGGUAAGUCUAUGAACAGUCAACAGAUUUUUUGCACUCUUUAAAAGUCUACAGUUUGAUGCGUGUUUUUUUGACAUGCAUGUUAACAACCAGCAUGCGUCAGUUUGUUUCCUUUAAACUACAUUCAUUUCACCAGAUUAGGUUUGGUUGUAUUUAGAGAACAAUGUCUUUAUUCUGGGAUUAGCACAC
Non-coding RNA from Danio rerio (zebrafish), 666 nucleotides. The record is from Ensembl. Lineage: Eukaryota; Metazoa; Chordata; Actinopteri; Cypriniformes; Danionidae.